RNAcentral lists this ribosomal RNA (829 nucleotides) under uncultured bacterium. RNAcentral describes it as "bacterial SSU rRNA". It matches the Rfam family "Bacterial small subunit ribosomal RNA", at positions 71 to 933 of the family's 1533-position model. The record is from RNAcentral.
UCUUCUAGCUUGCUAGAAGUGGAUUAGUGGCGCACGCGUGAGUAAUGCAUAGGUUAUGUGCCCUUUAGUCUGGGAUAGCCACUGGAAACGGUGAUUAAUACUGGAUACUCCCUACGGGGGAAAGUUUUUCGCUAAAGGAUCAGCCCAUGUCCUAUCAGCUUGUUGGUGAGGUAAUGGCUCACCAAGGCUAUGACGGGUAUCCGGCCUGAGAGGGUGAUCGGACACACUGGAACUGAGACACGGUCCAGACUCCUACGGGAGGCAGCAGUAGGGAAUAUUGCUCAAUGGGGGAAACCCUGAAGCAGCAACGCCGCGUGGAGGAUGAAGGUUUUAGGAUUGUAAACUCCUUUUGUUAGAGAAGAUUAUGACGGUAUCUAACGAAUAAGCACCGGCUAACUCCGUGCCAGCAGCCGCGGUAAUACGGAGGGUGCAAGCGUUACUCGGAAUCACUGGGCGUAAAGAGUGCGUAGGCGGGGUAAUAAGUCAGAUGUGAAAUCCUGUAGCUUAACUACAGAACUGCAUUUGAAACUGUUACUCUGGAGUGUGGGAGAGGUAGGUGGAAUUCUUGGUGUAGGGGUAAAAUCCGUAGAGAUCAAGAGGAAUACUCAUUGCGAAGGCGACCUGCUGGAACAUUACUGACGCUGAUGCACGAAAGCGUGGGGAGCAAACAGGAUUAGAUACCCUGGUAGUCCACGCCCUAAACGAUGGAUGCUAGUUGUUGCCUUGCUUGUCAGGGCAGUAAUGCAGCUAACGCAUUAAGCAUCCCGCCUGGGGAGUACGGUCGCAAGAUUAAAACUCAAAGGAAUAGACGGGGACCCGCACAAGCGGU